AGAGUUUGAUCCUGGCUCAGAAUCAACGCUGGCGGCGUGCCUAACACAUGCAAGUCGAACGAGAAAGGGUAGCAAUACCUGAGUAAAGUGGCGCACGGGUGAGUAACACGUGACUAACCUACCCUGGAGUGGGGGAUAACUGAGGGAAACCUUAGCUAAUACCGCAUAACACCUACGGGUCAAAGGAGCAAUUCGCUUCAGGAGGGGGUCGCGGCAGAUUAGUUAGUUGGCGGGGUAAUGGCCCACCAAGACAGUGAUCUGUAUCCGGCCUGAGAGGGCGCACGGACACACUGGAACUGAAACACGGUCCAGACUCCUACGGGAGGCAGCAGUGGGGAAUUUUGCGCAAUGGGGGAAACCCUGACGCAGCAACGCCGCGUGGAGGAUGAAGUCCUUCGGGACGUAAACUCCUUUCGAUCGGGACGAUAAUGACGGUACCGAGAGAAGAAGCCCCGGCUAACUUCGUGCCAGCAGCCGCGGUAAUACGAGGGGGGCGAGCGUUGUUCGGAAUUAUUGGGCGUAAAGGGUGCGUAGGCGGUUUGGUAAGUCUGAUGUGAAAUCUAUGGGCUCAACUCAUAGUCUGCAUCGGAAACUGCCGGGCUUGAGUAUGGGAGAGGUGAGUGGAAUUCCUGGUGUAGCGGUGAAAUGCGUAGAUAUCAGGAGGAACACCUGUGGCGAAAGCGGCUCACUGGACCAUAACUGACGCUGAUGCACGAAAGCUAGGGGAGCAAACAGGAUUAGAUACCCUAGUAGUCC
This 756-nucleotide ribosomal RNA is filed under the name uncultured bacterium. RNAcentral describes it as "bacterial SSU rRNA". It matches the Rfam family "Bacterial small subunit ribosomal RNA", at positions 8 to 796 of the family's 1533-position model. The record is from RNAcentral.